RNAcentral lists this ribosomal RNA (283 nucleotides) under uncultured prokaryote. Its description in RNAcentral is "partial 16S ribosomal RNA". It matches the Rfam family "Bacterial small subunit ribosomal RNA", at positions 524 to 817 of the family's 1533-position model. The record is from RNAcentral.
UACGUAGGGGCAAGCGUUAUCCGGAAUGAUUGGGCGUAAAGGGCGCGUAGGCGGCUUGUUAAGUCUGGAGUGGAAGUCCUCUUUUUAAGGGAGGAAUUGCUUUGGAAACUGGCGAGCUUGAGUGCAGGAGAGGUUAUCGGAAUUCCCGGUGUAGCGGUGAAAUGCGUAGAGAUCGGGAGGAACACCAGUGGCGAAGGCGGGUAACUGGACUGCAACUGACGCUGAGGCGCGAAAGUGUGGGGAGCAAACAGGAUUAGAUACCCCCGUAGUCCCUGAGCGGGCU